ACCCGCUGAACUUAAGCAUAUCAAUAAGCGGAGGAAAAGAAACUAACAAGGAUUCCCCUAGUAACGGCGAGUGAAGCGGGAAGAGCUCAAAUUUAAAAUCUGGCAGUGUAUUCUGUCCGAGUUGUAGUCUAGAGAAGCAUCAUCCGUGCUGGACCAUGUACAAGUCUCUUGGAACAGAGCGUCAUAGAGGGUGAGAAUCCCGUCCUUGACAUGGACUCCCAGUGCUUUGUGUUGUGCUCUCAACGAGUCGAGUUGUUUGGGAAUGCAGCUCAAAAUGGGUGGUAAAUUCCAUCUAAAGCUAAAUAUUGGCGAGAGACCGAUAGCGAACAAGUACCGUGAGGGAAAGAUGAAAAGCACUUUGGAGAGAGAGUUAAACAGUACGUGAAAUUGUUGAAAUGGAAACGCUUGAAGUCAGUCGCGUUCUCUGGGAUUCAGCCUUGCUUUUGCUUGGUGCAUUUCCUAGUCUACGGGCCAGCAUGAAUUUUGACCAAUGGAAAAAGGCUGGGGGAAUGUGGCACCUUCGGGUGUGUUAUAGCCCCUUGUCACAUACGUUGGUUGGGAUUGAGGUCUUAGUGCACGCUUCGGUUGUGCUUUGAUGCUGGCGUA
This 606-nucleotide ribosomal RNA is filed under the name uncultured fungus. RNAcentral's name for it is "eukaryotic LSU rRNA". It matches the Rfam family "Eukaryotic large subunit ribosomal RNA", at positions 23 to 633 of the family's 3401-position model. The record is from RNAcentral. Lineage: Eukaryota; Fungi.